This 460-nucleotide ribosomal RNA is filed under the name uncultured bacterium. RNAcentral's name for it is "partial 16S ribosomal RNA". It matches the Rfam family "Bacterial small subunit ribosomal RNA", at positions 338 to 795 of the family's 1533-position model. The record is from RNAcentral.
CCUACGGGAGGCAGCAGUGAGGAAUAUUGGUCAAUGGGCGGAAGCCUGAACCAGCCAAGUAGCGUGCAGGAUGACGGCCCUACGGGUUGUAAACUGCUUUUAUACGGGAAUAACGCGCCUUACGUGUAGGGCUUUGCAUGUACCGUAUGAAUAAGGACCGGCUAAUUCCGUGCCAGCAGCCGCGGUAAUACGGAAGGUCCGGGCGUUAUCCGGAUUUAUUGGGUUUAAAGGGAGCGUAGGCCGCAUGUCAAGCCUGCUGUGAAAUGUCCGGGCUCAACCCGGGCCUUGCAGCGCGAACUGGGGUGCUUGAGUCCGCGGAAAGCAGGCGGAAUUCGUGGUGUAGCGGUGAAAUGCUUAGAUAUGACGAAGAACCCCGAUGGCGAAGGCAGCUUGCUGCAGCGGAACUGACGCUGAUGCUCGAAAGCGCGGGUAUCGAACAGGAUUAGAUACCCCAGUAGUC